CUAAUAUUCCUGUACCGUGUAUCCGCAGCCGAAAGGCCCCGACGCUUCGGGGUAUGUUGAGCGGGAUCAUCGUCCCGUCCAAGCGUAUAAUUCCGGGGAGUACCGUAAUGGUGAGAAGCGGAAGAAAGCGUGAUGGAGUAAUUCGACAAAUUCCCGGAGCCCAUGAAAAGGGGGAUACCGUCCGUACCGAGAACCGACACAGGUGCCCCUCGCUGAGAAGGCGAAGGCGUGUCGGGUUUAAUCGUGUUAAGGGAACUCGGCAAAUUGGCCCCGUAACUUUGGGAGAAGGGGUGCCUGCCUGGAGAUCAGGCAGGUCGCAGUGACCAGGGAGCUCUAACUGUCUAAUAACAACAUAGGAGACUGCAACUCGGAAACGACUAGUAUAGUCUCUGAUUCCUGCCCAGUGCGAGUAUCUGAACACCCAGUUCAAUGGGACGAAGGACUCGUAAACGGCGGGGGUAACGAUGACCCUCUUAAGGUAGCGUAGUACCUUGUCGCUUAAUUGGCGACUUGCAUGAAUGGAUUAAUGAGAGCUCUACUGUCCCUAACACGAAUCCGUUGAACCUUUUGUCCUAGUGCAGAGACUAGGGACUCCUAUUGGGAAGUGAAGACCCCGUGGAGCUUUACUGCAGCCUGUCGUUGAAUUACGGUUUUACAUGCGCAGCGUAGAUGGGAGGCGUUAUAUCCGUUUCUUUCGGGGAACGGGGAGCCACCAAUGAGACACCAUCCUUGUUUGGCUGUAAUUCUCACUCGUCUUUACGAGGACAUCGAUAGGUAGGCAGUUUGGGUGGGGCGCCACACCCUCGAAAAAAUAUCAAGGGUGCCCUAAGGUCAACUCAUGUGAGUCAGAGACUCACAGUAGAGUGAAAGAGCAAAAGUUGGCCUGACGCGAUUGCGCAUAGCAAGCAAUCGCGAGAGGAAACUCGGGUCUAACGAACCAAUAUGCCCUUUUGGUGAGGGCUAUUGACGACAGAAAAGCUACCCCGGGGAUAACAGAGUCGUCGCCGGCAAGAGCACAUAUCGACCCGGCGGCUUGCUACCUCGAUGUCGGUUCUUUCCAUCCUGGCUGUGCAGCAGCAGCCAAGGGUGAGGUUGUUCGCCUAUUAAAGGGGAUCGUGAGCUGGGUUUAGACCGUCGUGAGACAGGUCGGUUACUAUCUAAUAGGAGUGUCAGGAGUCUGAGGGUAAGAAUGAAAUAGUACGAGAGGAACUUUCAUUCGGCGCCUCUAGUCGAUCGGUUGUCCGACAGGGCAGUGCCGAGCAGCCACGCGCCAAGGGAUAAAAGCUGAAAGCAUCUAAGCUUGAAACCCGGCCUAAAAAGAGACUCCGUUACAGGACAUGAGUAAAAGACUCGUUUGAUAGGCUCGGGAUGUACGCACGAAGGCAACGACGUGUUCAGUCCGCGAGUACUAACGUCCAAAUACCCCAGUU
RNAcentral lists this ribosomal RNA (1430 nucleotides) under metagenome. Its description in RNAcentral is "bacterial LSU rRNA". It matches the Rfam family "Archaeal large subunit ribosomal RNA", at positions 1520 to 2987 of the family's 2987-position model. The record is from RNAcentral.